AGUGAACGCUGGCGGUAGGCCUAACACAUGCAAGUCGAACGGCAGCACAGGAGAGCUUGCUCUCUGGGUGGCGAGUGGCGGACGGGUGAGGAAUACAUCGGAAUCUACUUUUUCGUGGGGGAUAACGUAGGGAAACUUACGCUAAUACCGCAUACGACCUACGGGUGAAAGCACGGGAUCUUCGGACCUUGCGCGAUUGAAUGAGCCGAUGUCGGAUUAGCUAGUUGGCGGGGUAAAGGCACACCAAGGCGACGAUCCGUAGCUGGUCUGAGGGGAUGAUCAGCCACACUGGAACUGAGACACGGUCCAGACUCCUACGGGAGGCAGCAGUGGGGAAUAUUGGACAAUGGGCGCAAGCCUGAUCCAGCCAUACCGCGUGGGUGAAGAAUGCCUUCGGGUUGUAAAGCCCUUUUGUUGGGAAAGAAAUCCAGCUGGUUAAUACCCGGUUGGGAUGACGGUACCCAAAGAAUAAGCACCGGCUAACUUCGUGCCAGCCGCCGCCGUAA
Molecule: ribosomal RNA, 506 nt
Filed under: uncultured bacterium
Lineage: Bacteria
Description: partial 16S ribosomal RNA
Rfam family: Bacterial small subunit ribosomal RNA
Source: RNAcentral